AUUAUUAACAAACAUCUCAAAAUAAAAUAAAAAUGGAUUUUAAAUUUAAGUUACCUUAUUUUGUUUAAUGAAAAAUAAAUUAAUUGAUGGCUCUAUUUCAAUUUUUUCGUUGAAAAUUUUUACUUAUGAUAUAUAUUUAUAUUUUUGUUUUUGACCGACUGUAAAAUUUAUUGUGCAAAGUAAUGAAUUUAUAUUUACAGAAUUAUAUUAGGGUACGAAAAUUAAUUUAAACAAAAUCAAAUUGAAAAAUCACACUUAAUUACAGUGAAAAAAACUUUUGUAGAAUAAAAAACCUCAUCUACACUUAAUUACCUAAUAAUAUAUAUAUAUAUAUAUAUACACGUCUCUUUCCCUUCUCUCUAUCACUCUUGCCUGCAACAACUGUUAACACGAGACUUGGAAUAGAAAUUCAAGUCAAGAAGUGUCUAUUAUCCCAUUUUUCCAGGGGCGGUAUAUAUAUAUAUUAUACAGGGG
RNAcentral lists this long non-coding RNA (474 nucleotides) under Populus tremula. Its description in RNAcentral is "long non-coding RNA (PTRE_LNC001567)". Lineage: Eukaryota; Viridiplantae; Streptophyta; Magnoliopsida; Malpighiales; Salicaceae. The record is from RNAcentral.